GGAACGUUGAAGACGACGACGUUGAUAGGUCGGGUGUGUAAGCGCAGCGAUGCGUUGAGCUAACCGAUACUAAUGAACCGUGAGGCUUAACCUUACAACGCCGAAGC
This 107-nucleotide ribosomal RNA is filed under the name Escherichia coli. RNAcentral's name for it is "partial 23S ribosomal RNA". The stretch from base 1 to 94 matches the Rfam family "Bacterial large subunit ribosomal RNA", at positions 2832 to 2925 of the family's 2925-position model. Lineage: Bacteria; Pseudomonadati; Pseudomonadota; Gammaproteobacteria; Enterobacterales; Enterobacteriaceae. The record is from RNAcentral. RNAcentral also lists the same sequence under 2 other names.